GAUGAAGAACGCAGCGAAAUGCGAUAAGUAAUGUGAAUUGCAGAAUUCAGUGAAUCAUCGAAUCUUUGAACGCACAUUGCGCCCCCUGGUAUUCCGGGGGGCAUGCCUGUUCGAGCGUCAUUUCACCACUCAAGCCUCGCUUGGUAUUGGGCAACGCGGUCCGCCGCGUGCCUCAAAUCGACCGGCUGGGUCUUCUGUCCCCUAAGCGUUGUGGAAACUAUUCGCUAAAGGGUGUUCGGGAGGCUACGCUGUAAAACAACCCCAUUUCUAAGGUUGACCUCGGAUCAGGUAGGGAUAGCCGCUGAACUUAAGCAUAUCAAUAAGCGGAGGA
This 331-nucleotide unclassified non-coding RNA is filed under the name soil metagenome. Its description in RNAcentral is "partial contains 5.8S ribosomal RNA, internal transcribed spacer 2, and large subunit ribosomal RNA". The stretch from base 1 to 120 matches the Rfam family "5.8S ribosomal RNA", at positions 35 to 154 of the family's 154-position model. The record is from RNAcentral.